GGAGGGGUGCCCGAGUGGCUAAAGGGAGCAGACUGUAAAUCUGCCGGCGAAUGCCUACGGAGGUUCGAAUCCUUCCCCCUCCA
RNAcentral lists this transfer RNA (83 nucleotides) under Armatimonadota bacterium. RNAcentral's name for it is "Armatimonadetes bacterium (marine sediment metagenome) tRNA-Tyr". It matches the Rfam family "tRNA". Rfam says of the family: Transfer RNA (tRNA) molecules are approximately 80 nucleotides in length. Their secondary structure includes four short double-helical elements and three loops (D, anti-codon, and T loops). Lineage: Bacteria; Bacillati; Armatimonadota. RNAcentral also lists the same sequence under 1 other name. The record is from RNAcentral.